RNAcentral lists this transfer RNA (66 nucleotides) under Odontolabis cuvera fallaciosa. RNAcentral describes it as "tRNA-Arg". Lineage: Eukaryota; Metazoa; Arthropoda; Insecta; Coleoptera; Lucanidae. The record is from RNAcentral.
AAAUAAGAAACAAUUAAUUGUAUUUAGUUUCGACCUAAAAUUUUGAUGACAAAUCAUCCUUAUUUU